Leopardus geoffroyi (Geoffroy's cat) is the source of this 1002-nucleotide long non-coding RNA. RefSeq lists it as uncharacterized. The record is from RefSeq and is a predicted model, not a curated record. The transcript is spliced from 2 exons. NCBI's taxonomy places the organism in Eukaryota, Metazoa, Chordata, Mammalia, Carnivora, Felidae.
GCAGGGUGCCCACCGCAGGUCCUUCCCACCUGAGGGGCUGAGGAAACAUCCCCUCCUUCCCCCUAGGAAGACCAAAGCUACUAUGGGGGUGGAGGGAAGCCCUUUGUAGGGACCUCCCUGCCCAGAAAUGACUGACCUUGGCCUGACCUCAUUGCUAACACCUUGCUCAGGCCCAGGGUAGCCCUGUAGCUGACCCUUUGGUUUCCUCCUCUGUCUGCUUUCCUUGCCCCCAAGUUGUCAAUGCCAGGUGUAAGCAUGCAGGUGACCAGCUUGUUCAUUUUUCUGGAGCGACCCCCACCCCCGGCCUGCUCCACAAGAUCCAAGAACACCCACCCCACAAGGUCGCACACAUCUGUCCUCACUCCUGGCAAGUUCAUUCUUCCUUGGCUGCCCCCCACCCCCCACCCCAUUCAACUUUAUAAAUCCUGUCCAGGAGUUACCUUCUCCGGCCCUUGCCUCUCCUUUUUGUCUUUUGCAGGUGCGCCUGACACGCACUUCGUUCCCCACCCCCCACCCCCACCCCUGUAGAGUGGUUUGUUAUCAUCUACCUAGCUGUCUUCCCCUACUGGAGUGUGAACUCUUGGAGGGCUGACAUCUUUAAUUCGGGACUUCGCUUCCCUCCCCCAUGUCUAGCGCAGGGAUGACACCCAAUUAAUACCUAGUGAAUUGAUUGGAGAGUGUGUGCAGAGGUAUAGCUGGGGACACUUCCAGGACGCUGGGCAGGAGUAUGGAAGACGCCUUUCUCCAUUAUCUUGCCCCCAUCCACCCUCCUCUUCCGCUAGCCCGGGUCCCAUCUUCUCCAGGACCAAGCCCAGAGAGGGAUUCAGCGGCCUUCUAGCUCAGCGCCUUUGGAUGAGAAGUAGACUAGCAUUUAUUGAGCAUUCAUCAAGCUAAUCAGACCAUCGUAAGUGCCAGUUUGAUGCCCGUGUCCCGCCCCCAAAUGGGUCCGUUUGUCAGGUCACUCCUAUAGGCCCACAAUAAAUAUUUUUGGAGUUACUAUUA